GACGAACGCUGGCGGCGUGCCUAAUACAUGCAAGUAGAACGCUGAAGGAGGAGCUUGCUCUUCUGGAUGAGUUGCGAACGGGUGAGUAACGCGUAGGUAACCUGCCUGGUAGCGGGGGAUAACUAUUGGAAACGAUAGCUAAUACCGCAUAAGAGUAGAUGUUGCAUGACAUUUGCUUAAAAGGUGCAAUUGCAUCACUACCAGAUGGACCUGCGUUGUAUUAGCUAGUUGGUGGGGUAACGGCUCACCAAGGCGACGAUACAUAGCCGACCUGAGAGGGGGAUCGGCCACACUGGGACUGAGACACGGCCCAGACUCCUACGGGAGGCAGCAGUAGGGAAUCUUCGGCAAUGGACGGAAGUCUGACCGAGCAACGCCGCGUGAGUGAAGAAGGUUUUCGGAUCGUAAAGCUCUGUUGUAAGAGAAGAACGAGUGUGAGAGUGGAAAGUUCACACUGUGACGGUAUCUUACCAGAAAGAGACGGCUAACUACGUG
RNAcentral lists this ribosomal RNA (495 nucleotides) under uncultured bacterium. Its description in RNAcentral is "partial 16S ribosomal RNA". It matches the Rfam family "Bacterial small subunit ribosomal RNA", at positions 28 to 507 of the family's 1533-position model. The record is from RNAcentral.